GGGCCUGUAGCUCAGCUGGGAGAGCACAUGGUUUGCAACCAUGGGGUCGGGAGUUCGAUCCUCCCCAGGUCCACCA
Molecule: transfer RNA, 76 nt
Filed under: Acidobacteriota bacterium
Lineage: Bacteria; Pseudomonadati; Acidobacteriota
Also listed under: 2 other names
Description: tRNA-Ala
Rfam family: tRNA
About the family: Transfer RNA (tRNA) molecules are approximately 80 nucleotides in length.
Source: RNAcentral